Molecule: ribosomal RNA, 269 nt
Filed under: uncultured archaeon
Lineage: Archaea
Description: partial 16S ribosomal RNA
Rfam family: Archaeal small subunit ribosomal RNA
Source: RNAcentral
AGUCACUGACAUUAGACUACCCCCGUAGUCCCAGCCGUAAACUAUGCGCGUUAGGUGUAUCGGUGACCACGAGUUACCGAGGUGCCGAAAGGGAAACCGUAGAAACGUGCCGCCGUGGGAAGUACGGUCGCAAGGCUAGAAACUUAAAGGAAUUGGCGGGGAGCACCACAACAGGUGGAGCCUGCGGUUUAAUUGGACUCAACGCCGGGAAGCUCACCGGAUAGGACAGCAGAAUGAUUGCCGGGCUGAAGACCCUGCAUGACUAGCUG